RNA transcript from Passer montanus (Eurasian tree sparrow), 2152 nucleotides. It is a transcript of the gene named erythroblast NAD(P)(+)--arginine ADP-ribosyltransferase-like, with no coding region annotated. Lineage: Eukaryota; Metazoa; Chordata; Aves; Passeriformes; Passeridae. The record is from RefSeq and is a predicted model, not a curated record. The transcript is spliced from 2 exons.
CAAACCCCCCUGUACAAGGUUCAAAACCCCCCUGUACAGUGCUCCAAAGUUUUUCCCUUCACCCUCUGAUUGCUACUACUAUGCUACUUAAACUUUUGUGGCCCGUAAUUCUUUAUAUAAGGUUGGCGAUUUCCUCCAUGAAUUAAGGUCGAAUUUCCAGGUGUCUUCGGCUUCCUGCCAGGGUCUCCAAGCCCCUGCCAGGGCUUUGAGACAUCCAGGGCAUCCAGAGAGGUGUCCUGGGUUCCAACAGGAGUGGAGCCUGGGGACAGGCCGAGUAGUGCAGGGGGGUUCAGGGAGUGACCCCAGGAUUUGGGUUGGAGUCGUAUGGGGGCUGAGGGACUUGUAGUCAUGGGAGUAGAGUUGGGUUUCUGGAGCUCCAGGAGAACACAGUACUGUGGGAUUUGGAUUGGUGUACCUGGGGGCUGGGGGACAUUGGGGAGGCAUAAGCAACCCCAGGAUUCAGGAUCAGGGACCCCAGACAUUCCCAGGGGUCUGCUAGCCAGGAGUGCCUCCCUUCCCCCUGGGCUGACCACACUCCCCUGCCCAGUCCCUCGCUGAGGAACUCUGCUCUGUGUCUCCUCUGUGUCUCCUCCAUGUCCCCUCUGUGUCCCCCAGUGUCUCCUGCGUGACCCCUCAGUGUCUCCAGUGUCCUACCCUGGUCCCUGUGGCCUCUCUUCUCCAUGGCCCCCCUGGCUCAGACCCUGGCACUGCUAGUAAUGAUCAUGGCUACUGCGGCCAUUGAGGUGAUCCCCCUGGACAUGGCCCAGGACUCCUUCGAUGACCAGUACCAGGGCUGUGGCCCUGCCAUGACAGCAGUAUUACUGGCCCUCCACUGUUGCGAGUUCCAGCAGAACAAGAAGUUUGCUGAGGUUUGGGAAAAGGCCAUGGCUAAGUGGCAGAGUCAGGGGUCCCCUACGUCCCCUCUGUCCCCAGAACAGCCCACUGCCAUCAUGGCCUUCACAACAGAUGGCCUGUCCGAUAUGUUCAAUAAUGCCAUGCGUGUGGCCGGGCGCUCCCGCCAGGAAUACUGGGACAAUUUCCACUUCAAAACGCUGCAUUUCCUGCUGACCGACGCCCUGGCGACGCUGAGGGAUGCUCAGAAAGGGCAGUGUCUCGAUGUGUUCAUGUGGGCGUGUGGGGUCCAACUCGACACGCAGCAUGGUGACAUCGUCCGGUUCGGUCAAUUCAUGUCAUCGUUCCUGAGCAAACCUCUUGGCAAGUGCUCCAAUCUCACGUUAGUCGAGCUGCGCACAUGCCAUGGUGUGGAAAUCCAGUUUUUUACCGAACAUCCGGGACAGCCGGUGGUGCUGAUCCCACCCUUCGAGACCUUCAAGGUCAUCCAAGUCACGCCGGAACAGGACAAGACACAGAUGUCAGAUUCAAGGGGGAUGUGGGGUAGGUGGUUUGGGACUGCUGCACCUUCCCAGUCCCUCAGCCCGUGGGGAAGAGGAGAGGGCACCAUGCUGCCGGGGGUUUGGGAUAAAAGGAGGCUGUGCCCUCUGAUACCUCGAGAGAGAAACCCCACGGGGAUAUGGCUGUGGAAAGUCUGUCUCUUUAUUGAAAUCAAGUUUCAAGACUGCUUUGUGGACACUUGACUUUUCAUAGUGUGGCUUUUCCUCACAUGCUGAAGGUGCUGGAUAGAGCUUAAAGUCUGACAGGCAAAAAUGAUAAAAGGAUGUAAAAGAAUUUACACAGGGCAAUAAACAUGGCUUGAAGCAGUGGAGAAAGAGAUGGAGGGAAGGGUUUUUUGACAAGUUCUGUACCACAGAAGGAGCAGCGCCUUGCGAAAGUGAAAGUUUGAGGUGAGGUCAUGUGGGAUAUUGGGACACAUUGAAAUGGCUUCCUGAUUACUGUUCAGGAAUUCUCCAGGACAAUAAGAGGAUUUCCAGAGAGGGGCAGAGCCAUGCCACCUAUUUACAGCAAAAAUGCUGUUUCUGUAUUAGAUAGGAAACCCAUUUCAAUAAAUAUUUAUAAUUAUGCUGGAUAAAUUCUGUGUGGCAAAGUCCCCACGGAGCUGCAGGACCAGGAGAGAUCUGCUGUGCGUCUGAGCUGAUACUGAAUCCCAGCUAUCUGAUACCUCCACUUCCAUCAGGGAGUUCACUCCGGCCGAUUUUGGUAUCAGUGUCUCCAGUGUCCCACACUGGUCCCUGUG